AUCAUUUCAAUUUUCUUUCAAAUCUAAUAUUUGCAUUGACAACAUAUUUCACAUAAAUCACAGUUCAUAGCACUACUUUUCUCGUCUCCCGUUUCUCUUUUUCUUGGUGCCAAAAAAUCAGAGUUAGGUAAGGAUCUCAAAACUCCCAGCACGACACAUUACGCCUAUAACAACCACACACAUCUAAAAGAAGUUUGAUCUAGGUAAACGACUUACUAGUAGACCAACAGAUGGUUUGGUCUACAUAUAUAGCCUUAUUAUGUUGUCCCAAAGUGUAGCUAGAGUGAGUGGUUAAUCAUGUAAGCAAAAUCUCCAUCAAAAAUAUGCUAAAUGUCGUGGUCCCUGUAAGUAUAUAUAUAGCUUUCUUUCUUGUUACUUGAAAAUAUAUCCUGUAAUUUGGCAAUCAACCUUGCUUUCAGGCAAGCAUUGCCGCAAGUUCAAAUGUGUGGCAGAUGAAUGAAUGAAGGAGAAUUUCUCUACAGGUCCAUAGUUUGCCAGGCACUCUUUGUCAUUACAAACCACUCAUUAAAAGAUGCCUCUCUCUAUAUAUAUAAUAUAUAUAUGGUCCAUAUAUGGUAUACUAGCUCCAUAUAUAAGAUUGGCACUAAUAGUACUUGCAAAAACCGACCAAGUGUGAUUGCUAAUUUGGUGUAUAUAUCUUGUCUAAUAUUCCUUUCCUCCUACCCCAAUAAAAAUCUAACUUCACAAAAUGAGCUGAUGCUUGGUAAGGCCUUAGGCCUGUGCUGUAUAUCAACCCAACUUUAACCUUCCUCCACACGAUCGAGUAGUAAAUGUUCUGUUUUCAGUGGAUUUUUUGGACCUACUUCACUUUCCAAUAGUUACUGAAGAAUAUAUACAGUCGUAAGAAUAUAUACUACAUGAUAUUUGAGUUUGAUCAACUUAUUGUUUCAUCUUAUGCAGAUAAUCAAUCGACAGCAACCUUUCUGCAAAAGCCUAAAGGACUACAAAAUGUGAUUCUAGCUAGUCUAGCUAUGGAGAAAAAUCAAAGAGCAGCAGAGACUAUUGACAAUUCGGAAUCAUUUUAUACCAUGCACUACUACAAAGUGAAGACUACUGUUCAUGCAGUGUACUUUUACAACCUUUACGUCACUUUCAUUCCCACUUUCAGCUCAAGAAUAUAUAUAUAUAUAUAUAUAUAUAUAUAUAUAUGGGUUCUCAUCCGCGCUGGCCACGAACACUAUUCCGACAACCAUAAUCCUAAUCGUUGAUUGUAAUUCCAUAAAUUGAUGCACUUAAUUUGGCUAGUGAGAGUUAUCUUGAAUCAGUGCCUAAUUCUUGCCAAAUGUCUCAAUGUAUGAUGAGGUCAACUUGAGUGCACUUACCAAGCAAAGGAAAAGUCAGCUUUUACUAUCUUCUUAAUUCUUUUAAUAGCAUCCCCUCCUUCCCCCCACCCCACCCCACUUAGUCGUCCACUUUCAUAUUUGUCAUAUCGGUUUUAAUUUCAUGAGUUGAAGUAUCUGAAACAUGCAUGUUACCAUAUGUACACAUACAUUACUUAAUCACCAGCUAGAGCGGUGGUCCAGUCCAAUGGUUUUACCCAAGGUCCGGGACACCUCUAACUGUUAAAUCCCCAUUGCACAUUUUAUCAACACCCUCGAUCACUUUGGAGGAAUAUUAUUAUUAUCAAGUAUGAAUAAAUUUUUGAAUUAGGAUUCUUAAACUGCAUUAUAUAAUUAAAUAA
This 1702-nucleotide long non-coding RNA is filed under the name Panax ginseng (ginseng). RNAcentral's name for it is "long non-coding RNA (PGIN_LNC006759)". Lineage: Eukaryota; Viridiplantae; Streptophyta; Magnoliopsida; Apiales; Araliaceae. The record is from RNAcentral.